This 253-nucleotide ribosomal RNA is filed under the name uncultured bacterium. RNAcentral describes it as "partial 16S ribosomal RNA". It matches the Rfam family "Bacterial small subunit ribosomal RNA", at positions 524 to 776 of the family's 1533-position model. The record is from RNAcentral.
UACAGAGGGGGCAAGCGUUAUUCGGAAUUAUUGGGCGUAAAGGGCGCGUAGGCGGCUUUGCAAGUGGCGGGUGAAAUCCCCCGGCUUAACCGAGGAACUGCCUGCCAGACUGUGAGGCUUGAGACCGGGAGAGGUGAGUGGAAUUCCCAGUGUAGCGGUGAAAUGCGUAGAUAUUGGGAGGAACACCAGUGGCGAAGGCGGCUCACUGGACCGGAACUGACGCUGAGGCGCGAAAGCGUGGGGAGCAAACAGG